GAACAUAAUUUGGCUUAAAAACGGCUGCGCCAUAGAAUAAUACGUAACGCGUGAUACUGUAAAAAAAAAAUGUUCGAUUACUGCGGCUGAUCGAAUUACUGUUAUACGCGAGCCGUGAGUUAUUUUCUUCCGUCGACGUGCGCGUUUCACACACACGGCGGGUCGCGUUUGCUCGUUGAAAUAUGCACAAAUCCGCUAAAAGCGUCGUACUUCGGACUCGUCGGACAUUUUAUAGCGGAAACCGAUCGUUCGAUUUCGUGAAUAUAAUGACAGUAUGCGACAGAACCCCGCGGGAAAACGUUAAGACUGCGAGACGUUUUCAUCGACCUUUAUUGCAUAACAUCUAUACGGUCUCAGACGCCGAUCUAGAGCACGGACCCGGGAGGGGCGGCAAUGGUUUUUUUUUUU
This is a non-coding RNA of Cinara cedri, 408 nucleotides long. Lineage: Eukaryota; Metazoa; Arthropoda; Insecta; Hemiptera; Aphididae. The record is from the annotation of a GenBank genome assembly.